RNAcentral lists this unclassified non-coding RNA (209 nucleotides) under Hevea brasiliensis (rubber tree). Lineage: Eukaryota; Viridiplantae; Streptophyta; Magnoliopsida; Malpighiales; Euphorbiaceae. The record is from RNAcentral.
UAUUAAAGCCAUUGAUGACUAUUGGUAUUUCAACAUUUGAUGCAAGCCAGUAGACUAGCAUUUUUGCUGAACUACCAAUAGUCAUCAAUGGCUUCAGUACUAAAAUCCACGAUUAAAUAACGGGAGAACAAAAAUAAUAGCAAGGCAUCAGAUCUUCCUAUUAAAAAAUAAGAAUCACAAUACCCAAAUCAAAUGUCCGAGCAUUCAAU